Long non-coding RNA from Solanum stenotomum, 1014 nucleotides. RefSeq lists it as uncharacterized. NCBI's taxonomy places the organism in Eukaryota, Viridiplantae, Streptophyta, Magnoliopsida, Solanales, Solanaceae. The record is from RefSeq and is a predicted model, not a curated record. The transcript has 3 exons.
CUGUUGACACUGAUAUUUCUUUGAAGAAUUAUGGUCUGUAGAUUUCUCAAUUUGUCUAGUGAAAGAGCUUCCUCAAUUCUUGCAGCAACAUAUCUCAAAUGUACAAGCUCAGGUAUUACACUAGAGAAAUCUAACCAAACUGUUAAUACAUUCAACACCUUAAGCAACUUGAACUCCGAAAAAAUGAAACGAAUCCCUUCUGGAAAAUCGGUGUAAUGAAAAUAUUGCAUUGAAAUAAAGGUACGAGCUAUACCAUUGCUAUGCAUUGGAGGAUAAACUUGGUUUUGUUCAAGUUUAGAUAGAAGGAUCACUCGCCGUUGAUCAUCUAUAGCUACGAGAACAUUUCCAUUCACAACAUUUUCAGUAUGAGUUUCACUUAGGCAUAGUUGGCGAAGAAGAUCAUGAAUUUUGAAAGUUUUCAUCCUUUCAUUAGCCUUUAAUCUAUCAAUCAAAAUUAGACUUCUAUCAAUUAGCUCUUGUAGAUAUUCCUCUGCCACCACUUCUAACCUUUUAUUGUUUCUUGCCUUUACAAAUUGCUCAGCAAUCCAUAGCCUAAUCAACUUGGAAACAUGAAUCUCUGUCUUCUGGAAAAACUCCAACACAGAGAAAACAAGCCUUCAAAUAUUGGGGCAAGUAAUUAUAGCUAAGAGACAGAAUUGAUUGGCACCGUUCAGAUACCGUAACAAAGAAUGAGCUCAAAUUUUCCUCAACGUUCUUCCAAUUGUCAUGCGUUAAGUCCAUUUUUCCAAGAAGUCCAGCAACAACAACAAUCGAGAGAGGUAAUCCUUGACAUUGCUGUACAAUAUGCUUCCCUAUUUCUACAAGUAAAGGAGGACACUGAUCUUUUUUGAAUAAUUUUUCGGUGAAUAGAUUCCAACUAUCUUCUGGACUUAGAAAAGACUUACUAUGAGGCGGAAAAUCAGGAUAACUGACAUAAUCAGCAACAUACUUGAGCCGAGUGGUUAAUAGAAUUCGGCUUCUAUUGUCAUCAUUUGGAAAUGUUCUUUGCAUUUG